This 222-nucleotide ribosomal RNA is filed under the name uncultured bacterium. RNAcentral's name for it is "partial 16S ribosomal RNA". It matches the Rfam family "Bacterial small subunit ribosomal RNA", at positions 328 to 539 of the family's 1533-position model. The record is from RNAcentral.
ACGCUCGACACCUACGGAGGCAGCAGUAGGGAAUCUUCCACAAUGGACGCAAGUCUGAUGGAGCAACGCCGCGUGAGUGAAGAAGGUCUUCGGAUCGUAAAACUCUGUUGUUAGAGAAGAACACGAGUGAGAGUAACUGUUCAUUCGAUGACGGUAUCUAACCAGCAAGUCACGGCUAACUACGUGCUAGCAGCCGCGGUAAUCUGAGCGGGCUGGCAAGGC